RNAcentral lists this transfer RNA (73 nucleotides) under Loxodonta africana (African savanna elephant). It matches the Rfam family "tRNA". Rfam says of the family: Transfer RNA (tRNA) molecules are approximately 80 nucleotides in length. Lineage: Eukaryota; Metazoa; Chordata; Mammalia; Proboscidea; Elephantidae. The record is from Rfam by way of RNAcentral.
CCCUGGGUAGUGCACUGGUGAUCACCCUUGGCUGCUAACCAAAAGUCUGGAGGUUCAAGUCCACCCAAAGGUG